UAAAGCCUAGGAAUCUGCCUGGUAGUGGGGGACAACGUUUCGAAAGGAACGCUAAUACCGCAUACGUCCUACGGGAGAAAGUGGGGGAUCUUCGGACCUCACGCUAUCAGAUGAGCCUAGGUCGGAUUAGCUAGUUGGUGAGGUAAAGGCUCACCAAGGCGACGAUCCGUAACUGGUCUGAGAGGAUGAUCAGUCACACUGGAACUGAGACACGGUCCAGACUCCUACGGGAGGCAGCAGUGGGGAAUAUUGGACAAUGGGCGAAAGCCUGAUCCAGCCAUGCCGCGUGUGUGAAGAAGGUCUUCGGAUUGUAAAGCACUUUAAGUUGGGAGGAAGGGCAGUAAGUUAAUACCUUGCUGUUUUGACGUUACCAACAGAAUAAGCACCGGCUAACUUCGUGCCAGCAGCCGCGGUAAUACGAAGGGUGCAAGCGUUAAUCGGAUUACUGGGCGUAAGCGCGCGUAGGUGGUUCGUUAAGUUGGAUGUGAAGCCCCGGCUCACCUGGAACUGCAUCAAAACUGUCUAGCUAGAGUAUGGCAGAUGGUG
Molecule: ribosomal RNA, 546 nt
Filed under: Pseudomonas sp.
Lineage: Bacteria; Pseudomonadati; Pseudomonadota; Gammaproteobacteria; Pseudomonadales; Pseudomonadaceae
Description: bacterial SSU rRNA
Rfam family: Bacterial small subunit ribosomal RNA
Source: RNAcentral